AAUCCUUUUGGGGUCUGCAGAACCCGUAGGGGUCCGUGGGAUCUUUUGGGGUCAAUAAAACCUUGGGGGCUGUGGGAACUUUUGGGGUCCCUAAAACCCUUCAGGGGCCAUAAAAUCCUUUUGGGGUCGAUAGAAACUGAGGGUCUCUGGAGCCUUUUGGGGGUCUGUGGAGCCUUUUGGGGUCUGGGGGACCUUUGGGGUCUGUGGGACACUUUGGGGUCUGUGGGAUCUUUGGGGUCUCUGGGAUCUUUUGGGGUCUCUGGGACCUUUUGGGGGUCUGUGGGACACUUUGGGGUCUCUGGGACCUUUGGGAUCCUUUGGGGUCCUGGAGCCCUUUGGGAUCCGCGGUGGCCCCGGCCCUCACUGGGACACGGGGAUGGGGACACUGCUCGGGACCCCGCUGUGACCCCAGUGUCCCCAAUGUCCUUCUGUCCCCAGUGUCCCCAAUGUCCCCAAUGUCCCUCUGUCCCUGCUGUCGUUGGUGUCCCCGCUGUCCCCCUGC
RNAcentral lists this long non-coding RNA (502 nucleotides) under Cyanistes caeruleus (blue tit). RNAcentral's name for it is "lncRNA (ENSCCEG00000005100.1)". Lineage: Eukaryota; Metazoa; Chordata; Aves; Passeriformes; Paridae. The record is from RNAcentral.